RNAcentral lists this ribosomal RNA (479 nucleotides) under Blastocystis sp. RNAcentral's name for it is "SSU rRNA". It matches the Rfam family "Eukaryotic small subunit ribosomal RNA", at positions 460 to 953 of the family's 1831-position model. Lineage: Eukaryota; Bigyra; Opalinata; Blastocystidae. The record is from RNAcentral.
GGAGGUAGUGACAAUAAAUCACAAUGCGGGACUGUUAGUCUUGCAAUUGGAUUGAGAACAACGUACAACUCUUAUCGAUAAGCCAUUGGAGGGCAAGUCUGGUGCCAGCAGCCGCGGUAAUUCCAGCUCCAAUAGCGUAUAUUAACGUUGUUGCAGUUAAAAAGCUCGUAGUUGAAGUGAGGGAGUGUGUGUUCAUGAGAGCUAGUCUCGAGUGUUCACAACCUCCCCCCUCCAAUCGGUGUAGUGGGGUAUUCAGUUAUUUCACUACUCCUUUGGUCGUUUACUGUGAGAAAAUUAGAGUGUUCAAAGCGGGCGUUUGUUUGAAUAGAUUAGCAUGGAAUAAUGAUUGAAGGCUUUCGUGUUCGAUUUGAUUGGUUUGUUCAUGGAAGCAAGGUUAAAAGGAACAGUUGGGGGUAUUCAUAUUCACUAGUUAGAGGUGAAAUUCUCGGAUUUAUGGAAGAUGAACAAGUGCGAAAGCA